Molecule: long non-coding RNA, 2435 nt
Organism: Mus musculus (house mouse)
Lineage: Eukaryota; Metazoa; Chordata; Mammalia; Rodentia; Muridae
Product: predicted gene, 32076
Exons: 5
Source: RefSeq, a predicted model, not a curated record
CCGUAAUUUCUGUUGCAAUUUAGGUCAGGUUGCCCCCUCAUUACUUCACAUACAAGAAGAAAGAUUCUCGUUCAAAUGGCUUUAGCUGGUUCAUUUAACAUCGUUCACUGGUUCUCUACUGUAUGUAGAACAAGAGGCUGAAUAUUCAGGAUAGAGCCCUGAUCUAAAGGCCUUAACCAUGGGAAAAUACCCAAUGAAAAUGGAGCCUGAAAGCUGAGAAAUUUCCAGAGCCUUUCAUUGGCAUGGAACUCACCAAGCAGGCUAGGCUGACCACUGAGCCCCAGGGAUCAUUCUCUGUCCACUUUUCCAGCCCUGUUGCAAAUGCACAGUGGAGAAACUUCACAGAAGACAAAUAUUGAGACUACGUGGGACAAUUCCUCAAAGUAUAAUGGAAGACACUGGGAAGUCACCGAAAAGAAGGGCGAUUUCUUAGCCACCCAUUUAGAAGAAUGUCAGCUGCCCUAGCAUGAUUUACAGCGUGAGCACGAGGAUCUGAAAAAAGAAAAAAAAAAAAAAAAGGCUACCAGCCCCACUGCUCUACUGCAUUCUGGAAACUUCUGAGUUAUUUUUAUUGAAAGAGCGUGCUCAUCUAAACGUGGAGCUUCUGCCCAGCAUCUGAACAAUUCUCUGCGUGUCACGCUAACCUAAGAAUGGAUAAAUUGGAUCCCAUCAUAUUAACAAACACUGAUCUGUUCUGACACCACUGAGGAGAAAGUUUGAGUGCAGGGACUGGUAUAAACGGCCCUGGGCAUACGAGAAGCUGAUCUUUUCAGAGAAAAGCUGCCUGAGAAAAAGCUCAUCUCCCCUAAAGCUGCCCAUGCAUGCGGAAGAGGGGCAUCAUAAGCUCAAAUCCCAAGGAAAAUGGCCCAGGUUAAGUGGUAAAAAUGUAUUUGAUCGAGUUAUAUGGGCAAGUAGAUGCUGGGGUGUGGGAGGCCUAGAGGGAAGAAAGGGCAGGGCUAAUGGGGAUGUUCAGGAAAGUCACAUUGCUGGGGUUGCAGAUAACCUUGGAAUGUCUUGUGUUAAAGGCUGAAUCUAUUCAAAGAUUGGUAGAUGGAAGCGGCUGCCAUCAGUGAGAAACCCUGCCCUAGUAGGGCUGAGUCUAAAUUGACUCAAGCGGAUGCACAGAGGCAUCCUGUAACUGUCAGGUGCUUUAGACUCUUCCCAGCCAGUUCAACAUUAUAGUCAAUAAUGUAUAUUCAACAUUUGCCUUUUAGCUUCUCUUUACUGAUCAGAUCCUGGCUAAAACAGGUGAAAAUUUCUUAAGAAAACUCCUGACAAAAUAAAAGUUUUCUUCCAUCUACAUAAUAAUUGUGUUCCUAAGAAAUUCAGUGGUUAUAAAAUGGUAUGAAAGUAAAAAUCUUGUGUAUUUGUAUGUAGAAUAAAAAAAACUAUAAUAUUUUCCAAUGCCUAUAGAUACCAUUCAGAGCUGAACAGCUAUACACAUGCCUGGCAAUUGUACCUAGCAUAACUCUGUCUGUGGUGGGGAACAACAGUUCUACCCACUACCGUGUGAUCACAAUUGCUUGUAUUAUCUCUAUGUGCCACAAAUUCUAACCUGUGUGUGACACUGUUGUGUGCAAUAGAAGAUGACCCUUCACUUUGUUGAACUAUCCCACCGAUGCAUUGAGCAUCCCUGGCCUCAACUAAUUUUGACAGUACCAUGCUCAAUCAUUUUGACAACCCAAAACACACCACAGAACAACCUACUUUGUAUCUGAGAACAAUUCAUUCACAUCUUAUGCCUCUGAUCUCUGUAUUAUUUAUUAUCACCAUUUUUAUUGUGCUAAUAAUACUUAAUAUAAGAACUACAUGUUUGAAAAGAUUUUUAAUAUCUUGGUUUCCUUAAGUUUUGAGAGUUUCAAAUAUUAAAUUUUUGUUUUAUUUUGCUUUUAUAUCUUGAAAUAUAGUACAGUUACGUCAUUUUCUCUCUUUCCUAUCUUGACUCCAAGCCCUGCCAUCACCCAUCUCAAAUUCAAAUUCAUUUUCUUUGUUAUUGUUACACACACAUGCUCACACACAUAUCCAUAGAUAAAUAAAUUGCUACAUAUGUUUUGUGUUACUUAUAUGCCUAUAAUUUCGGAACAAACCAACUUGUACUGGAUAACCAAUUAGGAAGCUCCUCUCUGGGGAAAACUCUUUCUCUUCUCAGCAUUUCUUAUUUUCCUGGAGUUCUUAAUGAUGGUGGCUUGUGUGUUUUGAUUAUAUUUAUGAUCUUCCCCAUUUCCUCCCAGAAUCAUUCCCAUUCAAUACCCAAACGAUCGUGUGUCCUCAGUCAUCAUUUUAAAAUACACCAAAUACAAUUCCUUCUGCCUGCAUAAUCUCAGCUGUGUGACCAUCCACUGGAGAGUGCUCCACCUAAGAAGAGCCACACCUCUAAAGAAAAGUGACUCUCCUUUCUGAGCAGCUAUCAACCACUCACUGCUCCACAGCUAAAG